RNAcentral lists this long non-coding RNA (276 nucleotides) under Equus caballus (horse). Its description in RNAcentral is "lncRNA (ENSECAG00000047084.1)". The record is from RNAcentral. Lineage: Eukaryota; Metazoa; Chordata; Mammalia; Perissodactyla; Equidae.
AUUUUGAAGACCAAGGCGACAAAAAGUGUUGAAGUUUGUAUUUCCCAGAUUAUUUCUACCUGAUAGAAAUACUUGUUUCUGCUCCACUGGCAGUUGGAUGACGCACAAGCAGAGCAAGCAGGAAGCCUUGCUCCUUGAGAAUCACCGUACGUAUCUGAGAAAACUCCGGCAGCUCUGGUGUCCACACGACUGGCUUGCAAGUCUCUUUGAUGUGACGACGUUCACAGGGGCCUUGAACCUACUGAACUCUCUGUGUCUUGCAGUCUACCACCCCCC